RNAcentral lists this transfer RNA (73 nucleotides) under Paramuricea clavata. It matches the Rfam family "tRNA". Rfam says of the family: Transfer RNA (tRNA) molecules are approximately 80 nucleotides in length. Their secondary structure includes four short double-helical elements and three loops (D, anti-codon, and T loops). Further hydrogen bonds mediate the characteristic L-shaped molecular structure. tRNAs have two regions of fundamental functional importance: the anti-codon, which is responsible for specific mRNA codon recognition, and the 3' end, to which the tRNAs corresponding amino acid is attached (by aminoacyl-tRNA synthetases). tRNAs cope with the degeneracy of the genetic code in two manners: having more than one tRNA (with a specific anti-codon) for a particular amino acid; and 'wobble' base-pairing, i.e. permitting non-standard base-pairing at the 3rd anti-codon position. Lineage: Eukaryota; Metazoa; Cnidaria; Anthozoa; Malacalcyonacea; Plexauridae. The record is from Rfam by way of RNAcentral.
GACCGCGUAGCUCAGUUGGAAGAGCAUUGGGCUAGUAUUCCAAAGGUCGUAGGUUCGAGUCCCACCGUGGCCG